Molecule: ribosomal RNA, 484 nt
Filed under: uncultured bacterium
Lineage: Bacteria
Description: partial 16S ribosomal RNA
Rfam family: Bacterial small subunit ribosomal RNA
Source: RNAcentral
AUUGAACGCUGGCGGCAGGCCUGACACAUGCAAGUCGAGCGGAUGAAGGGAGCUUGCUCCUGGAUUCAGCGGCGGACGGGUGAGUAAUGCCUAGGAAUCUGCCUGGUAGUGGGGGAUAACGUCCGGAAACGGGCGCUAAUACCGCAUACGUCCUGAGGGAGAAAGUGGGGGAUCUUCGGACCUCACGCUAUCAGAUGAGCCUAGGUCGGAUUAGCUAGUUGGUGGAGUAAAGGCCUACCAAGGCGACGAUCCGUAACUGGUCUGAGAGGAUGAUCAGUCACACUGGAACUGAGACACGGUCCAGACUCCUACGGGAGGCAGCAGUGGGGAAUAUUGGACAAUGGGCGAAAGCCUGAUCCAGCCAUGCCGCGUGUGUGAAGAAGGUCAUCGGAUUGUAAAGCACUUUAAGUUGGGAGGAAGGGCAGUAAGUUAAUACCUUGCUGUUUUGACGUUACCAACAGAAUAAGCACCGGCUAACUUCGUG